UACGUAGGGGGCGAGCGUUGUCCGGAUUUAUUGGGCGUAAAGAGCUCGUAGGCGGCUUAGCAAGUCGGGUGUGAAAACUCCAGGCUCAACCUGGAGACGCCACUCGAGACUGCUAUGGCUAGAGUCCGGUAGGGGACCACGGAAUUCCUGGUGUAGCGGUGAAAUGCGCAGAUAUCGGGAGGAACACCGGUGGCGAAGGCGGUUCUCUGGGCCUUACCUGACGCUGAGGAGCGAAAGCGUGGGGAGCGAACAGG
This 254-nucleotide ribosomal RNA is filed under the name uncultured bacterium. RNAcentral describes it as "partial 16S ribosomal RNA". It matches the Rfam family "Bacterial small subunit ribosomal RNA", at positions 524 to 776 of the family's 1533-position model. The record is from RNAcentral.